RNAcentral lists this ribosomal RNA (497 nucleotides) under uncultured bacterium. Its description in RNAcentral is "partial 16S ribosomal RNA". It matches the Rfam family "Bacterial small subunit ribosomal RNA", at positions 28 to 507 of the family's 1533-position model. The record is from RNAcentral.
GAUGAACGCUGGCGGCGUGCCUAACACAUGCAAGUCGAGCGAAAAGACGAGGAUCUUGCUCCUCUGACGUUAGCGGCGGACGGGAGAGUAACACGUGUAUAACCUACUUAUAUGUCUGGUAUCUCCUCGGGAAACCGGCUCUAAUACCGUAUAAUAUAUUGAACCGCAUUGUUCAAUAGAGAAUGUCGGCUUUGCUGUCUCUUAUAGCUGCUUCCGCGCCGUAUUAGCUAGUUGGUAGGGUAACCGCUUAGCAAGGCGACGAUGCGUAGCCGACCUGAGAGGGGGAUAGGCGGCCCUGGAGCGGGACCGGGGACCAGGCGCCUACGAGAGGCAGCAGUAGGGAAUGGGCGGCAAUGGGCGAAAGCAUGACGGAGCGACGGCACGUGAGUGAUGAAGGUCUUCGGAGCGUGAAACUCGGUUAUGAGGGAAAAACAGAUGUGUAAGUAAACAUGGAGGGCGUGACGGUAACUAAUCAAAAAGCAACGGCUAACUACGUG